RNAcentral lists this unclassified non-coding RNA (339 nucleotides) under soil metagenome. Its description in RNAcentral is "partial contains 5.8S ribosomal RNA, internal transcribed spacer 2, and large subunit ribosomal RNA". The stretch from base 1 to 120 matches the Rfam family "5.8S ribosomal RNA", at positions 35 to 154 of the family's 154-position model. The record is from RNAcentral.
GAUGAAGAACAUAGCGAAAUGCGAUAACUAAUGUGAAUUGCAGAAUUCAGUGAAUCAUCGAGUCUUUGAACGCACAUUGCGCCCCCUGGUAUUCCGGGGGGCAUGCCUGUCCGAGCGUCAUUGCUGCCCUCAAGCACGGCUUGUGUGUUGGGCUCCGUCCCCCCGGGGACGGGCCCGAAAGGCAGCGGCGGCACCGAGUCCGGUCCUCGAGCGUAUGGGGCUUUGUCACCCGCUCUGUAGGCCCGGCCGGCGCCAGCCGACAACCCAUCAUCCUUUUCAGGUUGACCUCGGAUCAGGUAGGGAUACCCGCUGAACUUAAGCAUAUCAAUAAGCGGAGGA